Molecule: ribosomal RNA, 484 nt
Filed under: uncultured bacterium
Lineage: Bacteria
Description: partial 16S ribosomal RNA
Rfam family: Bacterial small subunit ribosomal RNA
Source: RNAcentral
AUUGAACGCUAGCGGGAUGCUUUACACAUGCCAGUCGAACGGCAGCGCGGACUUCGGUCUGGCGGCGAGUGGCGCACGGGUGAGUAAUGUAUCGGAACGUGCCCAGUAGCGGGGGAUAACUACGCGAAAGCGUAGCUAAUACCGCAUACGCCCUACGGGGGCAAGCAGGGGAUCGUAAGACCUUGCACUAUUGGAGCGGCCGAUAUCGGAUUAGCUAGUUGGUGAGGUAACGGCUCACCAAGGCGACGAUCCGUAGCUGGUUUGAGAGGACGACCAGCCACACUGGGACUGAGACACGGCCCAGACUCCUACGGGAGGCAGCAGUGGGGAAUUUUGGACAAUGGGGGCAACCCUGAUCCAGCCAGCCCGCGUGUGCGAUGAAGGCCUUCGGGUUGUAAAGCACUUUUGGCAGGAAAGAAACGUCGCGGGCUAAUACCCCGUGGAACUGACGGUACCUGCAGAAUAAGCACCGGCUAACUACGUG